Molecule: ribosomal RNA, 253 nt
Filed under: uncultured bacterium
Lineage: Bacteria
Description: partial 16S ribosomal RNA
Rfam family: Bacterial small subunit ribosomal RNA
Source: RNAcentral
UACGUAGGGGGCAAGCGUUAUCCGGAUUUACUGGGUGUAAAGGGAGCGUAGACGGCGGUGCAAGCCAGAUGUGAAAGCCCGGGGCUCAACCCCGGGACUGCAUUUGGAACUGUGCUGCUAGAGUGUCGGAGAGGCAGGCGGAAUUCCUAGUGUAGCGGUGAAAUGCGUAGAUAUUAGGAGGAACACCAGUGGCGAAGGCGGCCUGCUGGACCGAAACUGACGUUGAGGCUCGAAAGCGUGGGGAGCAAACAGG